This 1343-nucleotide ribosomal RNA is filed under the name uncultured bacterium. Its description in RNAcentral is "16S ribosomal RNA". It matches the Rfam family "Bacterial small subunit ribosomal RNA", at positions 28 to 1378 of the family's 1533-position model. The record is from RNAcentral.
GACGAACGCUGGCGGCGUGCUUAACACAUGCAAGUCGAACGGAAAGGCCCUGCUUUUGUGGGGUGCUCGAGUGGCGAACGGGUGAGUAACACGUGAGUAACCUGCCCUUGACUUUGGGAUAACUUCAGGAAACUGGGGCUAAUACCGGAUAGGAGCUCCUGCUGCAUGGUGGGGGUUGGAAAGUUUCGGCGGUUGGGGAUGGACUCGCGGCUUAUCAGCUUGUUGGUGGGGUAGUGGCUUACCAAGGCUUUGACGGGUAGCCGGCCUGAGAGAGUGACCGGCCACAUUGGGACUGAGAUACGGCCCAGACUCCUACGGGAGGCAGCAGUGGGGAAUAUUGCACAAUGGGCGGAAGCCUGAUGCAGCAACGCCGCGUGCGGGAUGACGGCCUUCGGGUUGUAAACCGCUUUCGCCUGUGACGAAGCGUGAGUGACGGUAAUGGGUAAAGAAGCACCGGCUAACUACGUGCCAGCAGCCGCGGUGAUACGUAGGGUGCGAGCGUUGUCCGGAUUUAUUGGGCGUAAAGGGCUCGUAGGUGGUUGAUCGCGUCGGAAGUGUAAUCUUGGGGCUUAACCCUGAGCGUGCUUUCGAUACGGGUUGACUUGAGGAAGGUAGGGGAGAAUGGAAUUCCUGGUGGAGCGGUGGAAUGCGCAGAUAUCAGGAGGAACACCAGUGGCGAAGGCGGUUCUCUGGGCCUUUCCUGACGCUGAGGAGCGAAAGCGUGGGGAGCGAACAGGCUUAGAUACCCUGGUAGUCCACGCUGUAAACGGUGGGUACUAGGUGUGGGGUCCAUUCCACGGGUUCCGUGCCGUAGCUAACGCUUUAAGUACCCCGCCUGGGGAGUACGGCCGCAAGGCUAAAACUCAAAGGAAUUGACGGGGCCCCGCACAAGCGGCGGAGCAUGCGGAUUAAUUCGAUGCAACGCGUAGAACCUUACCUGGGUUUGACAUGGAUCGGGAGUGCUCAGAGAUGGGUGUGCCUCUUUUGGGGUCGGUUCACAGGUGGUGCAUGGCUGUCGUCAGCUCGUGUCGUGAGAUGUUGGGUUAAGUCCCGCAACGGGCGCAACCCUUGUUCACUGUUGCCAGCACGUUAUGGUGGGGACUCAGUGGAGACCGCCGGGGUCAACUCGGAGGAAGGUGGGGAUGACGUCAAGUCAUCAUGCCCCUUAUGUCCAGGGCUUCACGCAUGCUACAAUGGCUGGUACAGAGAGUGGCGAGCCUGUGAGGGUGAGCGAAUCUCGGAAAGCCGGUCUCAGUUCGGAUUGGGGUCUGCAACUCGACCUCAUGAAGUCGGAGUCGCUAGUAAUCGCAGAUCAGCAACGCUGCGGUGAAUACGUUCCCGGG